This 253-nucleotide ribosomal RNA is filed under the name uncultured bacterium. RNAcentral describes it as "partial 16S ribosomal RNA". It matches the Rfam family "Bacterial small subunit ribosomal RNA", at positions 524 to 776 of the family's 1533-position model. The record is from RNAcentral.
UACAGAGGUCCCAAGCGUUGUUCGGAUUCAUUGGGCGUAAAGGGUGCGUAGGUGGCAUGGUAAGUCGGAUGUGAAAUCCCGGGGCUCAACCCCGGAACUGCAUUCGAUACUGCUGAGCUAGAGUACUGGAGAGGAGAUUGGAAUUUACGGUGUAGCAGUGAAAUGCGUAGAUAUCGUAAGGAAGACCAGUGGCGAAGGCGGAUCUCUGGACAGUUACUGACACUGAGGCACGAAGGCCAGGGGAGCAAACGGG